Molecule: ribosomal RNA, 1445 nt
Filed under: uncultured organism
Description: SSU rRNA
Rfam family: Bacterial small subunit ribosomal RNA
Source: RNAcentral
UGAACGCUAGCUACAGGCUUAACACAUGCAAGUCGAGGGGCAGCAUGGUCUUAGCUUGCUAAGACUGAUGGCGACCGGCGCACGGGUGAGUAACACGUAUCCAACCUGCCGUCUACUCUUGGACAGCCUUCUGAAAGGAAGAUUAAUACAAGAUGGCAUCAUGAGUCCGCAUGUUCACAUGAUUAAAGGUAUUCCGGUAGACGAUGGGGAUGCGUUCCAUUAGAUAGUAGGCGGGGUAACGGCCCACCUAGUCUUCGAUGGAUAGGGGUUCUGAGAGGAAGGUCCCCCACAUUGGAACUGAGACACGGUCCAAACUCCUACGGGAGGCAGCAGUGAGGAAUAUUGGUCAAUGGGCGAGAGCCUGAACCAGCCAAGUAGCGUGAAGGAUGACUGCCCUAUGGGUUGUAAACUUCUUUUAUAAAGGAAUAAAGUCGGGUAUGCAUACCCGUUUGCAUGUACUUUAUGAAUAAGGAUCGGCUAACUCCGUGCCAGCAGCCGCGGUAAUACGGAGGAUCCGAGCGUUAUCCGGAUUUAUUGGGUUUAAAGGGAGCGUAGAUGGAUGUUUAAGUCAGUUGUGAAAGUUUGCGGCUCAACCGUAAAAUUGCAGUUGAUACUGGAUAUCUUGAGUGCAGUUGAGGCAGGCGGAAUUCGUGGUGUAGCGGUGAAAUGCUUAGAUAUCACGAAGAACUCCGAUUGCGAAGGCAGCCUGCUAAGCUGCAACUGACAUUGAGGCUCGAAAGUGUGGGUAUCAAACAGGAUUAGAUACCCUGGUAGUCCACACGGUAAACGAUGAAUACUCGCUGUUUGCGAUAUACGGCAAGCGGCCAAGCGAAAGCGUUAAGUAUUCCACCUGGGGAGUACGCCGGCAACGGUGAAACUCAAAGGAAUUGACGGGGGCCCGCACAAGCGGAGGAACAUGUGGUUUAAUUCGAUGAUACGCGAGGAACCUUACCCGGGCUUAAAUUGCAGAUGAAUUACGGUGAAAGCCGUAAGCCGCAAGGCAUCUGUGAAGGUGCUGCAUGGUUGUCGUCAGCUCGUGCCGUGAGGUGUCGGCUUAAGUGCCAUAACGAGCGCAACCCCUGUUGUCAGUUACUAACAGGUUCCGCUGAGGACUCUGACAAGACUGCCAUCGUAAGAUGUGAGGAAGGUGGGGAUGACGUCAAAUCAGCACGGCCCUUACGUCCGGGGCUACACACGUGUUACAAUGGGGGGUACAGAGGGCCGCUACCACGCGAGUGGAUGCCAAUCCCAAAAACCUCUCUCAGUUCGGACUGGAGUCUGCAACCCGACUCCACGAAGCUGGAUUCGCUAGUAAUCGCGCAUCAGCCACGGCGCGGUGAAUACGUUCCCGGGCCUUGUACACACCGCCCGUCAAGCCAUGGGAGCCGGGGGUACCUGAAGUGCGUAACCGCGAGGAGCGCCCUAGGGUAAAACUGGUGACUGGG